Molecule: long non-coding RNA, 658 nt
Organism: Corvus hawaiiensis (hawaiian crow)
Lineage: Eukaryota; Metazoa; Chordata; Aves; Passeriformes; Corvidae
Exons: 3
Source: RefSeq, a predicted model, not a curated record
GGCAAGGUUUGGUUCCUACAGUCCCAGGAGUUUUGCUGUUAAUUGCAAUAGCAGUAGGGCUGGACCACUCUGUACAGGUAACAGGGAGCCUGCUCAUGCCAUUACUGGAGAAGGGCUACUGGACUGCAGGGACCUUCAUCCCAGCUGUUUUUAUGUUGCCUCCCAUCUUUGUUAAUAAGAUUGUGGAGGAUGAAUCAAAAGCAGCUUCUGGAAUGAGGCUGGAUUGGAGCACCUCAGAGAAAUACUGGAUGAAAACUGAACUCCUUGCAUGCUCUGGAGAAGAGGUUGGCCACUGCAGAACAGUAAAUAUGAUAGUAGAAAACACAAGAAUGAGAAAAAAGGAACAGGAUCCUUUUUCCUCUUCAUACAUUCCCAUGAAUUCACGAUUAAAAGCAACUGCAUCAUUCUGUAAAGAAAAAAUUCUGUGUCAUUUUCUUAUUUCUUUACACCAAAGUUAUUAAAUCUGGUGCAAAGAACGUACUUUUGGUUUGAUCAUUUCUCACCCAGCCUAUAGGGUAGGCUGUUACAUGAUAUUCAGAAUUCAUUCUCUAAAUAAUUCCAGUGAUGUAUUACUAAGAAUGGUAAGAUCUUAAUUGCCUUCCAGCAGUUUUAGGUUACACUUCACCCUGCACUGCAUCUACAGUCUACAUAUGUUUAA